UGUAUGUACUUUACGAAUAAGGAUCGGCUAACUCCGUGCCAGCAGCCGCGGUAAUACGGAGGAUCCAAGCGUUAUCCGGAUUUAUUGGGUUUAAAGGGUGCGUAGGCGAACCCUUAAGUCAGUGGUGAAAGUUUGCGGCUCAACCGUAAAAUUGCCAUUGAAACUGAGGGUCUUGAGUGUAAAUGAGGUAGGCGGAAUGUGUUGUGUAGCGGUGAAAUGCUUAGAUAUAACACAGAACACCAAUUGCGAAGGCAGCUUACUGGGAUACAACUGACGCUGAGGCACGAAAGCGUGGGGAUCAAACAGGAUUAGAUACCCUGGUAGUCCACGCAGUAAACGAUGAAUACUAGCUGUAUGCGAUAUACUGUAUGCGGCACAGCGAAAGCGUUAAGUAUUCCACCUGGGGAGUACGUUCGCAAGAAUGAAACUCAAAGGAAUUGACGGGGGCCCGCACAAGCGGAGGAACAUGUGGUUUAAUUCGAUGAUACGCGAGGAACCUUACCCGGGCUCGAACGGUGCAUGAAUGAUUCAGAGAUGGAUUAGUCCUUCGGGACAUGUAUCGAGGUGCUGCAUGGUUGUCGUCAGCUCGUGCCGUGAGGUGUCGGCUUAAGUGCCAUAACGAGCGCAACCCUUGUCGUUAGUUACCAUCAAGUAAUGUUGGGGACUCUAGCGAGACUGCCACCGUAAGGUGUGAGGAAGGAGGGGAUGACGUCAAAUCAGCACGGCCCUUACGUCCGGGGCGACACACGUGUUACAAUGGUAGGUACAGAGGGCAGCUACCCAGUGAUGGGGUGCGAAUCUCAAAAACCUAUCUCAGUUCGGAUUGGAGUCUGCAACUCGACUCCAUGAAGUUGGAUUCGCUAGUAAUCGCGCAUCAGCCAUGGCGCGGUGAAUACGUUCCCGGGCCUUGCACACACCGCCCGU
This 924-nucleotide ribosomal RNA is filed under the name uncultured bacterium. RNAcentral's name for it is "bacterial SSU rRNA". It matches the Rfam family "Bacterial small subunit ribosomal RNA", at positions 470 to 1397 of the family's 1533-position model. The record is from RNAcentral.